This 447-nucleotide ribosomal RNA is filed under the name uncultured organism. RNAcentral's name for it is "partial 16S ribosomal RNA". It matches the Rfam family "Bacterial small subunit ribosomal RNA", at positions 334 to 797 of the family's 1533-position model. The record is from RNAcentral.
CACUCCUACGGGAGGCAGCAGUGGGGAAUAUUGGACAAUGGGCGCAAGCCUGAUCCAGCCAUGCCGCGUGAGUGAUGAAGGCCCUAGGGUUGUAAAGCUCUUUCACCGGUGAAGAUAAUGACGGUAACCGGAGAAGAAGCCCCGGCUAACUUCGUGCCAGCAGCCGCGGUAAUACGAAGGGGGCUAGCGUUGUUCGGAUUUACUGGGCGUAAAGCGCACGUAGGCGGACUAUUAAGUCAGGGGUGAAAUCCCGGGGCUCAACCCCGGAACUGCCUUUGAUACUGGUAGUCUUGAGUUCGAGAGAGGUGAGUGGAAUUCCGAGUGUAGAGGUGAAAUUCGUAGAUAUUCGGAGGAACACCAGUGGCGAAGGCGGCUCACUGGCUCGAUACUGACGCUGAGGUGUGAAAGCGUGGGGAGCAAACAGGAUUAGAAACCCGGGUAGUCCCA